ACUAGAUGGCGUAGGCCGCUGUGGUCGAUAAUACAGAGUUGUGGGUUUGAUACUAAAACAAGACUAGAUAUAAAAACUAUCAGUAAAGGUUAGUCAUACUUAAAAAAAAUAAUAAAGAUUACUAGCAGACUUUUAUUUAGACAAUUAAUUAAUAGAGGUAAUUUUAAAAACUAAACUUUUUGUUUAAGUAAUUUGAAACGGCUACAACCAUUAUUCUUUACGAACGAAAGAAAAACCUGCAAAAAUGUUUAAAUAUCAUUGUCGAAACUUUGUAAAAAUAAGCAUGAAUAAAUGGUAUAAGCAAAUUUUUCAGAUGGAUUUCGGACCGAUUGAAUGGCGCCCUAAAUUUGCAACUAAACAGGGUGAAAAUGCUCUCUGUGCACCAACGCCCUUCCUAGCUAUUAAAGAGGAAGAAAUGAUGAAAAAUAUGAAUAAAAUGAUGGAGUUGAUGAAGCAAUGGCCAAAUGUUGAUUUGAGACCCCAUUUUAAAGCCCAUAAAUCGGUUGAUAUUGCAAAACAACAGAUAAAGUUGGGAGCUGUUGGCAUUUGUUGUCAGACACUUACUGAGGCUGAAUCAGCUGUUUAUGGUGGCUCAAUAGAAGAUGUUUUCAUAUCGAAUGAAGUUAUUGGUGUAGGAAAAGUGAAAAGGGUUGUUCAAUUAGCCCUGAAAUCCAAAAUAUCCAUUUGCGUUGAUAAUGAAGAAAACAUAAAAGAUUUGAGUCAACUCGCUAAGGAAUCUAAUGCUAACUUAGAUCUUGUGAUUGAGGUUAAUGUCGGUCAGGAUCGAUGUGGUAUUAAACCUGGUGCCGAUGUUGUACCUUUAGCUAAACUUGUAGAAUCUUUACCGAACGUACACUUUAAGGGAAUUCAAGCUUACCAUGGCUGGAAUCAGCAUGUUAGAUCAGCAGCUGAAAGGAAAGAACGGACCAACACUGUUGCCGGACUAGCACAAAAAACGGUUGAGUGUCUGCAGUCGGCCAACAUUAAAUGUCCCUAUAUUACGGGUGGUGGUACGGGAACUUUCCCCUACGAAGCUGGAACCGGUCUUUUCACAGAAAUUCAACCAGGUUCCUACGUCUUUAUGGACGCUGACUACAAUAGGAAUCUGAAUGAAAAGGAGACUUUCUAUAGUGGCUUCGUUCAAAGUCUUUUUAUAUAUACAACAGUUCAAAGUAUAACUGGUGAUGAGAGAGCUGUUGUUGAUAGCGGUAUGAAAGCUGCUAGCUUAGAUUCUGGACCUCCCUUGGUGGCGGGAAAAGAGGAUUCAGUCAUCUAUCAUUCUGGCGGGGAUGAACACGGAAUAUUAAGACCGAACGAUGGCUUUAAAGUUGGACAAGUUAUUCAAUUAAUACCUGGGCAUUGUGAUCCAACUGUCAACCUUCACGAUGUUUACUAUCUGAUAGAUGGUAAUGAGAAGGUUAAAGCAAUCUUACCAGUAAAUGCCAGAGAUGCUGGCGUCUGAAAUGCUUGACAUAGAAGUAACAAACAAUUUGAAUAAUUUUGAUUAAUUCAAAAUACAAAAAGAUUAACAAUAAUAAUAAUGUAACUUCGUAAAGGAUAUUUGCAUGACGUAGAUUUAUUUACAGCUAAUAAGCCUAUAAAGAAUGAGAUUAAAUAUUACUGUUUGUUAUUUGGUAAUAUUAAAUGAUAUCUUGAAACUUAUAGCCAAAUGUAAUAUUACUCAGAGUGUAUUUAUACAAGAAGUCAUUUCAAA
RNAcentral lists this unclassified non-coding RNA (1714 nucleotides) under Dimorphilus gyrociliatus. RNAcentral's name for it is "d-ser_dehydrat domain-containing protein". The record is from RNAcentral. Lineage: Eukaryota; Metazoa; Annelida; Polychaeta; Dinophilidae.